GUAAAAGCGCAUGCAGGUGGUUUGUUAAGUCAGAUGUGAAAGCCCGGGGCUCAACCUCGGAAUUGCAUUUGAAACUGGCAGACUAGAGUACUGUAGAGGGGGGUAGGAAUUUCAGGUGUAGCGGUGAAAUGCGUAGAGAUCUGAAGGAAUACCGGUGGCGAAGGCGGCCCCCUGGACAGAUACUGACACUCAGAUGCGAAAGCGUGGGGAGCAAACAGGAUUAGAUACCCUGGUAG
RNAcentral lists this ribosomal RNA (236 nucleotides) under uncultured bacterium. RNAcentral's name for it is "partial 16S ribosomal RNA". It matches the Rfam family "Bacterial small subunit ribosomal RNA", at positions 562 to 793 of the family's 1533-position model. The record is from RNAcentral.